CCUACGGGCGGCUGCAGUGGGGAAUAUUGGGCAAUGGGCGCAAGCCUGACCCAGCAACGCCGCGUGAAGGAAGAAGGCUUUCGGGUUGUAAACUUCUUUUCUCAGGGACGAAGCAAGAGACGGUACCUGAGGAAUAAGCCACGGCUAACUACGUGCCAGCAGCCGCGGUAAUACGUAGGUGGCAAGCGUUAUCCGGAUUUACUGGGUGUAAAGAGCGUGUAGGCGGGAAAGCAAGUCAGAUGUGAAAACCAUGGGCUCAACCGGUGGCCUGCAUUUGAAACUGUUUUUCUGGAGUACUGGGGAGGCAGACGGAAUUCCUAGUGUAGCGGUGAAAUGCGUAGAUAUUGGGAGGAACACCAGUGGCGAAGGCGGUCUGCUGGACAGCAACUGACGCUGAGGCGCGAAAGCGUGGGGAGCAAACAGGAUUAGAUACCCCUGUAGUC
This 443-nucleotide ribosomal RNA is filed under the name uncultured bacterium. Its description in RNAcentral is "partial 16S ribosomal RNA". It matches the Rfam family "Bacterial small subunit ribosomal RNA", at positions 338 to 795 of the family's 1533-position model. The record is from RNAcentral.